CUUUGUCCAACGUCCGGACCCACUCAAUGCCUUGCUAACCUACCUUUGGCUGCCAUUUGGCUUCAUCCUCUCCAUUAUUCGUGUCUACUUCAAUCUACCUUUACCCGAGCGUAUCGUACGCUACACUUACGAGAUGCUCGGCAUUCACCUCGUGAUACGCGGAAAGCGACCUCCCCCACCAUCUCCCGGGACCCCAGGCAACCUCUACGUCUGCAAUCACCGCACAGCUCUUGACCCGAUUGUGAUCGCCAUCGCACUUGGACGCAAAGUCUCGUGUGUCACAUACAGCGUAAGCCGUCUCUCGAGGCUCCUAUCUCCAAUCCCAGCCAUUGCUUUAACUCGUGAUCGUGCGGCCGAUGCUGCCCGAAUUUCAGAACUGUUGCAAAAAGGUGAUCUAGUAGUUUGUCCGGAGGGGACCACGUGUCGUGAGCAAUUCCUGUUGAGGUUCAGUGCUUUGUUCGCAGAAAUGAGCGAUAGGAUCGUCCCCGUUGCCGUCAAUUGCAAGCAGAGCAUGUUCUACGGGACGACCGUGAGAGGGGUCAAAUUCUGGGACCCUUAUUUCUUC
Molecule: long non-coding RNA, 565 nt
Filed under: Gossypium raimondii (Peruvian cotton)
Lineage: Eukaryota; Viridiplantae; Streptophyta; Magnoliopsida; Malvales; Malvaceae
Description: long non-coding RNA (GRAI_LNC005162)
Source: RNAcentral